UCGAGGAUCUUCGGCAAUGGGCGCAAGCCUGACCGAGCGACGCCGCGUGUGCGACGAAGGCCUUCGGGUUGUAAAGCACUGUCGAGGGGGAGGAAAGCCGAAAGGUUUGACCUAUCCCUGGAGGAAGCACGGGCUAAGUUCGUGCCAGCAGCCGCGGUAAGACGAACCGUGCGAACGUUGUUCGGAAUCACUGGGCUUAAAGGGCGCGUAGGCGGUCCACCAAGUCAGGGGUGAAAUCUUUCGGCUUAACCGGAAAAGUGCCUUUGAUACUGGUGGACUCGAGGGAGGUAGGGGCAGAUGGAACUGGUGGUGGAGCGGUGAAAUGUGUAGAUAUCACUAGGAACGCCGGUGGCGAAAGCGAUCUGCUGGACCUCUACUGACGCUGAGGCGCGAAAGCCAGGGGAGCAAACGG
This 412-nucleotide ribosomal RNA is filed under the name uncultured bacterium. Its description in RNAcentral is "bacterial SSU rRNA". It matches the Rfam family "Bacterial small subunit ribosomal RNA", at positions 355 to 775 of the family's 1533-position model. The record is from RNAcentral.